AUGCACGCUGGCGGCGUGCCUAAUACAUGCAAGUCGCGCGAACGGACGAGAAGCUUGCUUUUCUGAUGUUAGCGGCGGACGGGUGAGUAACACGUGGAUAACCUACCUAUAAGACUGGGAUAACUUCGGGAAACCGGAGCUAAUACCGGAUAAUAUUUUGAACCGCAUGGUUCAAAAGUGAAAGACGGCCUUGCUGUCACUUAUAGAUGGAUCCGCGCUGCAUUAGCUAGUUGGUAAGGUAACGGCUUACCAAGGCAACGAUGCAUAGCCGACCUGAGAGGGUGAUCGGCCACACUGGAACUGAGACACGGUCCAGACUCCUACGGGAGGCAGCAGUAGGGAAUCUUCCGCAAUGGGCGAAAGCCUGACGGAGCAACGCCGCGUGAGUGAUGAAGGUCUUCGGAUCGUAAAACUCUGUUAUUAGGGAAGAACAUAUGUGUAAGUAACUGUGCACAUCUUGACGGUACCUAAUCAGAAAGCCACGGCUAACUACGUG
This 496-nucleotide ribosomal RNA is filed under the name uncultured bacterium. RNAcentral's name for it is "partial 16S ribosomal RNA". It matches the Rfam family "Bacterial small subunit ribosomal RNA", at positions 29 to 507 of the family's 1533-position model. The record is from RNAcentral.